This is a non-coding RNA of Cinara cedri, 123 nucleotides long. The record is from the annotation of a GenBank genome assembly. Lineage: Eukaryota; Metazoa; Arthropoda; Insecta; Hemiptera; Aphididae.
AACUCCAGUUCGCUUUCAAACGAAAAAAUCUUUCGCCUUUUACUAAAGAAUUCCGUGAAGGGGAGUAUUCAAAGGAGUCUAGAAACUAAAACCACCUAGUUGUUCAAACGUUCUGUAACGACU